GGAUAUGAGGGUGAUCCGGCUGUGAAACCUCUCACCCUAUUGGUUGCCAGGGUUGAUUCGGCUGAUCUAGCUGGCUAGGUGGGCAUCCUCUUCCUCCUCCCUCACUGCUCCAUGUACGUCCCUCCUGAAGUUGUAUGCUUGGUCAAAGAGGACGAUAAUCUUCUCCAACAGAGGAGUACCAUUCUUCAGUCAAGGAUUACAAGUAGCUGUGCUCCCCUGCUAGAGCCUCAAAACAAGCUCUCAAAGAUCUAGCCCAGAAAUUCAUGAGGGCAUGGGUUAGGCCUUAUAACUCUUUAUAGGCCCCAUUAUCAUCGGCACUAUCCAUUGUUCCUUG
Molecule: small nuclear RNA, 334 nt
Filed under: Microcebus murinus (gray mouse lemur)
Lineage: Eukaryota; Metazoa; Chordata; Mammalia; Primates; Cheirogaleidae
Description: 7SK RNA (ENSMICG00000023293.3)
Rfam family: 7SK RNA (bases 1-299)
About the family: 7SK was discovered as an abundant small nuclear RNA in the mid-70s but a possible function has only recently been suggested. Two independent studies have found that 7SK RNA binds the CDK9/cyclin T complex (known as elongation factor P-TEFb). P-TEFb activates transcription by phosphorylating the C-terminal domain of RNA polymerase II.
Source: Rfam by way of RNAcentral